UGGAAGUAAAAAGUCGUAACAAGGUCUCCGUUGGUGAACCAGCGGAGGGAUCAUUACCGAGUUUACAACUCCCAAACCCAAUGUGAACGUUACCAAACUGUUGCCUCGGCGGGAUCUCUGCCCCGGGUGCGUCGCAGCCCCGGACCAAGGCGCCCGCCGGAGGACCAACCUAAAACUCUUAUUGUAUACCCCCUCGCGGGUUUUUUUAUAAUCUGAGCCUUCUCGGCGCCUCUCGUAGGCGUUUCGAAAAUGAAUCAAAACUUUCAACAACGGAUCUCUUGGUUCUGGCAUCGAUGAAGAACGCAGCGAAAUGCGAUAAGUAAUGUGAAUUGCAGAAUUCAGUGAAUCAUCGAAUCUUUGAACGCACAUUGCGCCCGCCAGUAUUCUGGCGGGCAUGCCUGUCCGAGCGUCAUUUCAACCCUCGAACCCCUCCGGGGGGUCGGCGUUGGGGAUCGGCCCUCCCUUAGCGGGUGGCCGUCUCCGAAAUACAGUGGCGGUCUCGCCGCAGCCUCUCCUGCGCAGUAGUUUGCACACUCGCAUCGGGAGCGCGGCGCGUCCACAGCCGUUAAACACCCAACUUCUGAAAUGUUGACCUCGGAUCAGGUAGGAAUACCCGCUGAACUUAAGCAUAUCAAUAAGCGGAGGAA
Molecule: ribosomal RNA, 647 nt
Filed under: fungal sp. ARIZ B403
Lineage: Eukaryota; Fungi
Also listed under: 1 other name
Description: eukaryotic LSU rRNA
Rfam family: 5.8S ribosomal RNA (bases 259-412)
Source: RNAcentral